UAUAUGUGCAGACUUUUUCUAUAGGUAAAUUGCUUGCUGUGGGAGUUUGGUGUACAGACUUUCAUCACCCAGGGUAACAUAGCAAGAAGGUCCUCACAAGAUGUCAGCACCAUGCUCUUGGACUUCCCUACUUCUAGAACUGUGACCAAAUAAAACCCUAUUCUUUAUAAAUUACCUAGCUUUUGUUAUGCUGUUACAACAGCAGAAAAUGGAUUAAGACACCCACUCACAUAUAUUUUCUUCUUUGUCUUUUUAAUACUGUGAAACAGAAUUUUUUAGUUAAUUUAGUUAUUCUUAUAUUAGACUUUUCCAUUUAUGAAAGAAUGAGUUCUUACAAUGGACCUCUUUGAUACCAUUGACUUGAAUGUGUAAUAGGAAGAACUCUAAGGCUUCUGAAAUAAUCCAACUGUUUAUCUGCAAAACCACCUGCAGCCAGAAAGUGAGAUAACAAAAUCACUGAAGAAAUCAAAACAUGAGAGUUGAAUCACAAAACCUCACUUUAUCUUGAUGAUUUUCUAUGGAAGGUAUAUACCUCAGCACAUCGAUAAAAGGACAAUUUUGUGUACUAAAACAAAGGAGGUCAUUAUAAGGAUAUAAAAACCAAUGGUGUUAAAAGCAGCACUAAUGCUCAGCAGACUAAAACCAAGUAAUCCAGUGUAAUAAAAUGGUUAGGUUGGAGUCUUAAUAGAUUGUAAUUGUUAGGAGAAUAAAUCACAGCUAAAAUAUUUCUCUAUCUAUGAGAUAAGCAUUGGAAAUAAUUUUAAAAUUCAGAGACCUCAACACUAAAGGUAGAAAAUAUUUCCUUUCCUAUUAGAGUACUAAAAAAGAGUAACUGAAAUGAAUAUUACUAAACUAACAUUUUUUCUAUUUAAGUGUUUUGCUAUCACAAACUGAAAGAAAAAUUAACGUUUCAGAUUAUUUAGGAGAAUGAGCCAGGGAUUGCAAAUAUCUCACCUCAAAUAUCGUUUUUGUUUUUUGUUUUUUGUUUUUUUUUUUUUGAGAUGGAGUCUUGGUCUGUUGCCCAGGCUGGAGUGCAGUGGCACGAUCUCAGCUCACUGCAACCUCCACCUCCCAGGUUUAAGUGAUUCUCCUGCCUCAACCUCCCAAGUAGCUG
This 1114-nucleotide long non-coding RNA is filed under the name Homo sapiens (human). RNAcentral describes it as "HSALNT0147518". The record is from RNAcentral. Lineage: Eukaryota; Metazoa; Chordata; Mammalia; Primates; Hominidae.